AUUAUUCCUUGGCAGGGAAGAUGCCAUGAUGACCAAGGUGGUUUUCCCAGGGUGAAACUUGCCUUUGUACUCCAGAUGUGCUGACUUCUACAACUUCCUCAAGUGAGGGAACAUGGCUGCAUAAUUUGUGGUAGUGGGGACUGUUUUCACAUCCCUCCC
Small nuclear RNA from Jaculus jaculus (lesser Egyptian jerboa), 159 nucleotides. Its record names the gene U1. It matches the Rfam family "U1 spliceosomal RNA". Rfam says of the family: U1 is a small nuclear RNA (snRNA) component of the spliceosome (involved in pre-mRNA splicing). Its 5' end forms complementary base pairs with the 5' splice junction, thus defining the 5' donor site of an intron. The record is from Ensembl. NCBI's taxonomy places the organism in Eukaryota, Metazoa, Chordata, Mammalia, Rodentia, Dipodidae.